RNA transcript from Pan troglodytes (chimpanzee), 720 nucleotides. It is a transcript of the gene named TSSK6 activating cochaperone, with no coding region annotated. The record is from RefSeq and is marked inferred. NCBI's taxonomy places the organism in Eukaryota, Metazoa, Chordata, Mammalia, Primates, Hominidae. The transcript is spliced from 5 exons.
GCGCAGUAGGGUGGCCGCUCCCGGCCGCGUGCAGCGCGAACGUCGGCGCAGGCGCCAAGGCUCUGGCAGUUGGCCAGCACACCACUACGCAUGUGUGUCAACUCUAGGGUUGGGUGCUGGGGUUGCGGCUUUCGGUUAACACCGCAGAUUGGAACAGCCUGAGGUCUGCUGGAGACAACUUAGGAAAUUAUCAUAGUGAAAAUACUAGCAUGGAUUGUUGAUCAUCUGAUGCUAUGAUUCUUUCCCAGGCACCACACCUGUUGGUGUUCAGAUGGAGCGGCACACUAGUCAUCCUAACAGAAAAGUUCCAGCCAAAGAGGAAGCUAAUGCUGUGCCUCUCUGUAGAGCAAAACCCUCCCCCAGCUAUAUUAAUCUUCAAGCAAGUUCCCCACCAGCCACUUUUCUGAACAUCCAGACAACAAAGCUGCCCUCAGCCCAAGGAAUGCCUAGGACUCCUGGAAUGUAUAUAUGCAAACCUCCAGCUUCAGACCCAGCUCACCCAACAACAGAUGGCUGUUUUGGAACAUUUACAGGCAUCUGUGACACAACUGGCUCCUGGGAGGGGAAGCAAUAACUCUUCUCUCCCAGCCUUAUCUCCUAAUCCAUUGUUAAAUCACCUGCCCCAAUUCAGCUGUGUGUGCCACAUCUGCUUCUGAUGAGAGCCUCAGGGAGCUUUGCAUCACCAUGGAAAGCAAAGAUGAGCAGCGUGUCACAUGGCAA